Molecule: ribosomal RNA, 350 nt
Filed under: uncultured bacterium
Lineage: Bacteria
Description: bacterial SSU rRNA
Rfam family: Bacterial small subunit ribosomal RNA
Source: RNAcentral
GGGCCCGCACAAGCGGUGGAGCAUGUGGUUUAAUUCGAUGAUACGCGAGGAACCUUACCAGGGUUUAAAUGUAGGACGACCGUUCUGGAAACAGGACUUUCUUCGGACGGACUACAAGGUGCUGCAUGGUUGUCGUCAGCUCGUGCUGUGAAGUGUCGGGUUAAGUCCCAUAACGAGCGCAACCCCUAUCUUUAGUUGCCAGCGGUUCGGCCGGGGACUCUAACGGAACUGCCGGUGCAAACCGUGAGGAAGGUGGGGACGACGUCAAAUCAUCACGGCCUUACGUCCUGGGCCACACACGUGCUACAAUGGUAGGUACAGAGGGAAGCCACCCCGCGAGGGGGAGCGGA